CCUACGGGGGGCUGCAGUGAGGAAUAUUGGUCAAUGGGCGAGAGCCUGAACCAGCCAAGUCGCGUGAGGGAGUACUGCCCUAUGGGUUGUAAACCUCUUUUGUCGGGGAGCAAAAGCCGGACGUGUCCGGCUGUGAGAGUACCCGAAGAAAAAGCAUCGGCUAACUCCGUGCCAGCAGCCGCGGUAAUACGGAGGAUGCGAGCGUUAUCCGGAUUUAUUGGGUUUAAAGGGUGCGCAGGCGAAUUUUUAAGUCAGCGGUAAAAUCGUGGGGCUCAACCCCAUCCAGCCGUUGAAACUGGGGAUCUAGAGUGUGCGAGAGGUAUGCGGAAUGCGUGGUGUAGCGGUGAAAUGCAUAGAUAUCACGCAGAACCCCGAUUGCGAAGGCAGCAUACCGGUGCACAACUGACGCUCAGGCACGAAAGCGUGGGUAUCGAACAGGAUUAGAUACCCCAGUAGUC
RNAcentral lists this ribosomal RNA (458 nucleotides) under uncultured bacterium. RNAcentral describes it as "partial 16S ribosomal RNA". It matches the Rfam family "Bacterial small subunit ribosomal RNA", at positions 338 to 795 of the family's 1533-position model. The record is from RNAcentral.